Molecule: ribosomal RNA, 253 nt
Filed under: uncultured bacterium
Lineage: Bacteria
Description: partial 16S ribosomal RNA
Rfam family: Bacterial small subunit ribosomal RNA
Source: RNAcentral
GACGAGGGGGCCUAGCGUUGUUCGGAAUUAUUGGGCGUAAAGCGGGUGUAGGUGGUUUGGUAAGUCAGGAGUGAAAGCCAUGGGCUCAACCCAGGAAGUGCUUUUGAUACUGCUGAACUUGAGUAUCGGAGAGGGUAGUGGAAUUCCUGGUGUAGUGGUGAAAUACGUAGAUAUCAGGAGGAACAUCGGUGGCGAAGGCGGCUACCUGGCCGAAUACUGACACUCAGACCCGAAAGCGUGGGGAGCAAACAGG